RNAcentral lists this ribosomal RNA (551 nucleotides) under uncultured bacterium. Its description in RNAcentral is "bacterial SSU rRNA". It matches the Rfam family "Bacterial small subunit ribosomal RNA", at positions 355 to 896 of the family's 1533-position model. The record is from RNAcentral.
UAGGGAAUCUUCGGCAAUAGGGGGCAACCCUGACCGAGCAACGCCGCGUGAGUGAAGAAGGUUUUCGGAUCGUAAAGCUCUGUUGUAAGUCAAGAACGAGUGUGAGAGUGGAAAGUUCACACUGUGACGGUAGCUUACCAGAAAGGGACGGCUAACUACGUGCCAGCAGCCGCGGUAAUACGUAGGUCCCGAGCGUUGUCCGGAUUUAUUGGGCGUAAAGCGAGCGCAGGCGGUUUGAUAAGUCUGAAGUUAAAGGCUGUGGCUCAACCAUAGUUCGCUUUGGAAACUGUCAAACUUGAGUGCAGAAGGGGAGAGUGGAAUUCCAUGUGUAGCGGUGAAAUGCGUAGAUAUAUGGAGGAACACCGGUGGCGAAAGCGGCUCUCUGGUCUGUAACUGACGCUGAGGCUCGAAAGCGUGGGGAGCGAACAGGAUUAGAUACCCUGGUAGUCCACGCCGUAAACGAUGAGUGCUAGGUGUUGGAUCCUUUCCGGGAUUCAGUGCCGCAGCUAACGCAUUAAGCACUCCGCCUGGGGAGUACGACCGCAAGGUUG